UACAGAGGCCUCGAGCGUUAGGCGGAAUCACUGGGCUUAAAGCGUGUGUAGGCGGUUGCCUAAGUGCUUUGUGAAAUCCCACGGCUCAACCGUGGAAUUGCUUGGCAUACUGGGUGUCUUGAGCCAUCUAGGGGCGAGCGGAACAAGUGGUGGAGCGGUGAAAUGCGUAGAUAUCACUUGGAACGCCAACGGUGAAAACAGCUCGCUGGGGAUGUGCUGACGCUGAGACACGAAAGCCAGGGGAGCGAACGGG
RNAcentral lists this ribosomal RNA (253 nucleotides) under uncultured bacterium. RNAcentral describes it as "partial 16S ribosomal RNA". It matches the Rfam family "Bacterial small subunit ribosomal RNA", at positions 524 to 776 of the family's 1533-position model. The record is from RNAcentral.